This 119-nucleotide ribosomal RNA is filed under the name Gadus morhua (Atlantic cod). The record is from RNAcentral. Lineage: Eukaryota; Metazoa; Chordata; Actinopteri; Gadiformes; Gadidae.
GGCUACCACCAUACCACCCUGAAUACGCCCGAUCUCGUCUGAUCUCGGAAGCUAAGCAGGGUUGGGCCUGGUUAGUACUUGGAUGGGAGACCGCCUGGGAAUACCAGGUGCUGUAAGUG